RNAcentral lists this small nuclear RNA (98 nucleotides) under Microcebus murinus (gray mouse lemur). Lineage: Eukaryota; Metazoa; Chordata; Mammalia; Primates; Cheirogaleidae. The record is from RNAcentral.
GUGCUCACUUAGGCAGCACAUAUAAUAAAACUGAAACUAUACAGAGAAUAUUAGCAUGGCCCUGCUCAAGGACGACAUGCAAAGCAUUCCAUAUUUUU